Molecule: long non-coding RNA, 195 nt
Organism: Choloepus didactylus (southern two-toed sloth)
Lineage: Eukaryota; Metazoa; Chordata; Mammalia; Pilosa; Megalonychidae
Exons: 3
Source: RefSeq, a predicted model, not a curated record
GUGCAGGAGCCGCUGGUCAUGGCAGGAAGGCACCGAGUUCUGGGUGGGACACGAGGUGAAGGACACCCCUGAGGCUCUUGCAGCCAGAAUCCUGGGUCCUGCUCCCCAGUUGGGGUCUGGAGAACGCGAAUCUUAAAGCCAGUGCCAGAGUAUGAUCCUGAACCCCGAGCCCCCCACUUCUCACCCGGGGCCAGC